RNAcentral lists this long non-coding RNA (542 nucleotides) under Phoenix dactylifera (date palm). RNAcentral's name for it is "long non-coding RNA (PDAC_LNC021687)". The record is from RNAcentral. Lineage: Eukaryota; Viridiplantae; Streptophyta; Magnoliopsida; Arecales; Arecaceae.
AAGCAUGAAAGGUGGUUACUUAAUUAGGACCUUGCUCUCUGAGUAAGGGGAGCCUCCCACCUGCUUACCUGGCCAAUUGUUCGAUUACCUCUUAUGAAGGGCUCAAGUUGCAAACACUAAGACCUGAUUAACCAAUAUUAAGUCAAUAGGUCUUCCACUGUAGUAGAGCUGCUAAGGCCUUUCUGAUGUUAAUUUGUCUCGGCUGGACACAGUGGUCAAGUUGCAUCGGGGGGCUGGAUCUCUCUAUAGACAUGAGAUGUUGUAGGGUAAAGGUGGGGUUGGGCACCAAUAACUGUUAGGUGAGGACCCAAUGACGACUUUAUUCCUACGGUUAUACGGUGGGUCUGACUUAACUAAGAAAUGGGACCAAUAACUGUUAGGUGAGGUCUUCAUGGCUUAGAGACCAAGUUACACUGCAAUAUGGUUGAGAAGCAUUGUACAAGAGUUGUACACUGAUCCAUCUAUGUGUCACCAAUAACUGUUAGGUGAGGUGGCAUGUAAAUCGGUGGGACCGCAGUACCUACUAGAAACCCUAGUCGCGU